This 460-nucleotide ribosomal RNA is filed under the name uncultured bacterium. Its description in RNAcentral is "partial 16S ribosomal RNA". It matches the Rfam family "Bacterial small subunit ribosomal RNA", at positions 338 to 795 of the family's 1533-position model. The record is from RNAcentral.
CCUACGGGAGGCAGCAGUGAGGAAUAUUGGACAAUGGGCGCGAGCCUGAACCAGCCAAGUAGCGUGAAGGAUGACUGCCCUACGGGUUGUAAACUUCUUUUAUAAAGGAAUAAAGUGAGGCACGUGUGCCUUUUUGUAUGUACUUUAUGAAUAAGGAUCGGCUAACUCCGUGCCAGCAGCCGGGGUAAUACGGAGGAACCGAGCGUUAUCCGGAUUUAUUGGGUUGAAAGGGAGCGUAGAUGGGUGGUUAAGUCAGUUGUGAAAGUUUGGGGCUCAACCGUAAAAUUGCAAUUGAUACUGGCAGCCUUGAGUACAGUUGAGGUAGGCGGAAUUCGUGGUGUAGCGGUGAAAUGCGUAGAUAUUACGAAGAACUCCGAUUGCGAAGGCAGCUUACUAAACUGCCACUGACAUUGAUGCUCGAAAGUGUGGGUAGCAAACAGGAUUAGAUACCCUUGUAGUC